CGUGAAGCUGGAUUCGCUAGUAAUCGCGCAUCAGCCAUGGCGCGGUGAAUACGUUCCCGGGCCUUGUACACACCGCCCGUCAAGCCAUGAAAGCCGGGGGUACCUGAAGUACGUAACCGCAAGGAUCGUCCUAGGGUAAAACUGGUAAUUGGGGCUAAGUCGUAACAAGGUAGC
This 174-nucleotide ribosomal RNA is filed under the name uncultured bacterium. RNAcentral describes it as "partial 16S ribosomal RNA". It matches the Rfam family "Bacterial small subunit ribosomal RNA", at positions 1319 to 1500 of the family's 1533-position model. The record is from RNAcentral.